CAAUAUUAAUUUCACUCUUGUAUUGUUACAGGGAAACUUUAUGGUGAUGUUCCUUUUAUAGAAGAAAGACACAGACAUCGGUAUGAGGUGAACCCUGCCUUGGUCAACCAAUUUGAGCAGAGUGACUUAAAUUUUGUAGGUCAGGAUGUUGAUGGGGAGAGGAUGGAAAUCAUUGAACUGGCAAAUCACCCCUAUUUUGUUGGUGUCCAAUUCCAUCCUGAGUUUUCUUCUAGGCCGAUGAAGCCUUCCCCUCCAUACCUGGGACUAUUACUUGCAGCAACUGGGAACCUGAAUGCCUACCUACAACAGGGAUGCAAACUGUCCUCCAGUGAUAGAUACAGUGAUGCCAGUGAUGACAGCUUUUCAGAGCCAAGGAUAGCUGAGUUGGAAAUAAGCUACAACUAAUACAUGACUCGGAAUGGCAGGCGCUGCCUGAGAGGGCUCUGAAGUAAUUGAAGCCAAGAUAAAGCAACUAUCUGAAGAAAUCACCACAUUCUUAAAGAAUCACAAAACAUGUGAUGAAAGCCUCAAAGGAAAUCAAAUAAUAUGUACUUUCAUGAAGCAGAACCAAAGGGGCACUUUCCUUUCUUUCCUCCAGAGGUGGCCUUUGGGUCUCACAGAUUGCUCUAGCCGAUUAAACAUUUCCCAACAACCUGA
RNA transcript from Myotis davidii, 657 nucleotides. RefSeq lists it as uncharacterized. The record is from RefSeq and is a predicted model, not a curated record. The transcript has 5 exons. Lineage: Eukaryota; Metazoa; Chordata; Mammalia; Chiroptera; Vespertilionidae.